This 670-nucleotide ribosomal RNA is filed under the name uncultured organism. Its description in RNAcentral is "bacterial SSU rRNA". It matches the Rfam family "Bacterial small subunit ribosomal RNA", at positions 195 to 864 of the family's 1533-position model. The record is from RNAcentral.
GUUAUAGUAAAGGCUUCGGUCGUCUUAUGAUGUGCCUGCGUUAGAUUAGUUAGUUGGUAAGGUAACGGCUUACCAAGGCGACGAUCUAUAGCCGAGCUGAGAGGCUAAUCGGCCACAUUGGAACUGAGACACGGUCCAGACUCCUACGGGAGGCAGCAGCUAAGAAUCUUCCGCAAUAGUCGAGAGACUGACGGAGCGACGCCGCGUGAACGAUGAAGGCCUUAUAGGUUGUAAAGUUCUUUUAUAGGUGACGAAUAUUUGAUGUAGGUCAAGUUGACGGUAGCCUAUGAAUAAGGUCCGGCUAACUACGUGCCAGCAGCCGCGGUAAUACGUAGGGACCAAGCGUUGUUCGGAAUUAUUGGGCGUAAAGGGUACGUAGGCUGCCCGGUAAGUCAGAUGUGAAACCCUUGGGCUCAACCUGAGGCUUGCGUUUGAUACUGCUGGGCUAGAGUUACUGAGAGGAAGGCGGAAUUCCUGGUGUAGGGGUGAAAUCUAUAGAUAUCAGGAAGAACAUCUGUUGCGAAGGCGGCCUUCUGGCAGUUAACUGACGCUCAUGUACGAAAGUUAGGGUAGCAAACAGGAUUAGAGACCCUGGUAGUCCUAACUGUAAACGUUGUAUACUAGGUGGUUGGAGUAUUGAUCCUCUGACUGCCGCAGCUAACGCAUUAAG